This 452-nucleotide ribosomal RNA is filed under the name uncultured Rhodocyclaceae bacterium. RNAcentral describes it as "bacterial SSU rRNA". It matches the Rfam family "Bacterial small subunit ribosomal RNA", at positions 926 to 1382 of the family's 1533-position model. Lineage: Bacteria; Pseudomonadati; Pseudomonadota; Betaproteobacteria; Rhodocyclales; Rhodocyclaceae. The record is from RNAcentral.
CAAGCAGCGGAGCGUGUGGUUUAAUUCGAUGCUACACGAAGAACCUUACCAGGGUUUGACAUACAAGUGGUAGAGAAGCGAAAGCGGACGACCUUCGGGAGCUUGUACAGGUGCUGCAUGGCUGUCGUCAGCUCGUGUCGUGAGAUGUUGGGUUAAGUCCCGCAACGAGCGCAACCCUUGUCAUUAGUUGCCAUCAUUUGGUUGGGCACUCUAAUGAGACUGCCGGUGACAAACCGGAGGAAGUGGGGAUGACGUCAAGUCCUCAUGGCCCUUAUGGGUAGGGCUUCACACGUCAUACAAUGGUCGGUACAGAGGGUUGCCAACCCGCGAGGGGGGGCUAACCCCACAAAGCCGAUCGUAGUCCGGAUCGCAGUCUGCAACUCGACUGCGUGAAGUCGGAAUCGCUAGUAAUCGUGGAUCAGCAUGUCACGGUGAAUACGUUCCCGGGUCUU